This 497-nucleotide ribosomal RNA is filed under the name uncultured bacterium. Its description in RNAcentral is "partial 16S ribosomal RNA". It matches the Rfam family "Bacterial small subunit ribosomal RNA", at positions 28 to 507 of the family's 1533-position model. The record is from RNAcentral.
GAUGAACGCUGGCGGCGUGCCUAAUACGUGCAAGUCGAGCGAACGGACGAGAAGCUUGCUUUUCUGAUGUUAGCGGCGGACGGGUGAGUAACACGUGGAUAACCUACCUAUAAGACUGGGAUAACUUCGGGAAACCGGAGCUAACACCGGAUAAUAUUUUGAACCGCAUGGUUCAUAAGUGAAAGACGGUCUUGCUGUCACUUAUAGAUGGAUCCGCGCUGCAUUAGCUAGUUGGUAAGGUAACGGCUUACCAAGGCAACGAUGCAUAGCCGACCUGAGAGGAUGAUCGGCCACACUGGAACUGAGACACGGUCCAGACUCCUACGGGAGGCAGCAGUAGGGAAUCUUGCGCAAUGGGCGAAAGCCUGACGGAGCAACGCCGCGUGAGUGAUGAAGGUCUUCGGAUCGUAAAACUCUGUUAUUAGGGAAGAACAUAUGUGUAAGUAACUGUGCACAUCUUGACGGUACCUAAUCAGAAAGCCACGGCUAACUACGUG